GGACCAAGGAGUCUAGCAUGUGCGCGAGUCAUGGGGACCAUCGAAUCCUAAAGGCGAAAUGAAAGUAAAUUGUGCACUUGUGCAUGAUAAGGGAAGAUGGGCGUGAAAUACCGCCUCGCACUCCCGGGGCGUCUCACUCUCAUUGCGAGAAGAGGCGCACCUAGAGCGUACAUGCUGGGACCC
Molecule: ribosomal RNA, 183 nt
Filed under: Zyras sp. 6 BT-2011
Lineage: Eukaryota; Metazoa; Arthropoda; Insecta; Coleoptera; Staphylinidae
Description: partial 28S ribosomal RNA
Rfam family: Eukaryotic large subunit ribosomal RNA
Source: RNAcentral